This 368-nucleotide ribosomal RNA is filed under the name uncultured bacterium. Its description in RNAcentral is "partial 16S ribosomal RNA". It matches the Rfam family "Bacterial small subunit ribosomal RNA", at positions 338 to 698 of the family's 1533-position model. The record is from RNAcentral.
CCUACGGGAGGCAGCAGUGGGGAAUUUUGGACAAUGGGCGCAAGCCUGAUCCAGCUAUUCCGCGUGUGGGAUGACGGCCCUCGGGUUGGAAACCACUUUAGGAGAGAACGAAAAGGAGCUAUCGAAUAAAUAGCUCUGCUGACGGUACGCUAAGAAUAAGCACCGGCUAACUACGGGCCAGCAGCCGCGGUAAUGCGUAGGGUGCUGGCGUUAAUCGGAUGUACUGGGCGUAAAGGGGGUGCAGGUGGCGGAGUAAGACAGAUGUGAAAUCCCCGGGCUUAACCUGGGAACCGCAUAUGUGACUGCUUGGUUAGAGUGCGUCUGCGGGAGGUGGAAUUUCAGGUGUAGCAGUGAAAUGCGUAGAUAUG